GAGUGGCGCACGGGUGCGUAACGCGUGAGCAACCUACCCAUAUCAGGGGGAUAGCCUCUCGAAAGAGAGAUUAACACCGCAUAACAUCAUUUACCGGCAUCGGUUUUUGAUCAAAUAUUUAUAGGAUAUGGAUGGGCUCGCGUGACAUUAGCUAGUUGGAGAGGUAACGGCUCACCAAGGCUACGAUGUCUAGGGGCUCUGAGAGGAGAAUCCCCCACACUGGUACUGAGACACGGACCAGACUCCUACGGGAGGCAGCAGUAAGGAAUAUUGGUCAAUGGAGGCAACUCUGAACCAGCCAUGCCGCGUGCAGGAUGACUGCCCUAUGGGUUGUAAACUGCUUUUGUCAGGGAAUAAACCUUUCUACGUGUAGAAAGCUGAAUGUACCUGAAGAAUAAGGAUCGGCUAACUCCGUGCCAGCAGCCGCGGUAAUACGGAGGAUCCAAGCGUUAUCCGGAUUUAUUGGGUUUAAAGGGUGCGUAGGCGGUCCUAUAAGUCAGUGGUGAAAGACGGCAGCUUAACUGUCGCAGUGCCUUUGAUACUGUAGGACUUGAAUCUAUUUGAAGUGGGCGGAAUAAGACAAGUAGCGGUGAAAUGCAUAGAUAUGUCUUAGAACUCCGAUUGCGAAGGCAGCUCACUAAGUUAGUAUUGACGCUGAUGCACGAAAGCGUGGGGAUCAAACAGGAUUAGAUACCCUGGUAGUCCACGCCCUAAACGAUGAUAACUCGAUGUUUG
RNAcentral lists this ribosomal RNA (735 nucleotides) under Sphingobacterium faecium. Its description in RNAcentral is "bacterial SSU rRNA". It matches the Rfam family "Bacterial small subunit ribosomal RNA", at positions 93 to 826 of the family's 1533-position model. Lineage: Bacteria; Pseudomonadati; Bacteroidota; Sphingobacteriia; Sphingobacteriales; Sphingobacteriaceae. The record is from RNAcentral.